CAGUCGCCACGGGAAUACGUAGGUGGCAAGCGUUGUCCGGAUUUAUUGGGCGUAAAGCGAGCGCAGGCGGUCAAUUAAGUCUGAUGUGAAAGCCCCCGGCUCAACCGGGGAGGGUCAUUGGAAACUGGUUGACUUGAGUGCAGAAGAGGAGAGUGGAAUUCCAUGUGUAGCGGUGAAAUGCGUAGACAUAUGGAGGAACACCAGUGGCGAAGGCGACUCUCUGGUCUGUAACUGACGCUGAGGAGCGAAAGCGUGGGGAGCGAACAGGAUUAGAUACCCCUGUAGUCCCUGUCUCUUAUAA
Molecule: ribosomal RNA, 301 nt
Filed under: uncultured bacterium
Lineage: Bacteria
Description: partial 16S ribosomal RNA
Rfam family: Bacterial small subunit ribosomal RNA
Source: RNAcentral